GAUCCUGGCUUAGGAUGAACGCUGGCGGCGUGCCUAACACAUGCAAGUCGAACGAAGCACUGGAAACGGAGAUUCGUCGAAGUUUCUUGACUUAGUGGCGGACGGGUGAGUAAUGUAUGAGCAACCUGCCUUUCAGAGGGGGACAACAGUUGGAAACGACUGCUAAUACCGCAUAAUGUAUAAGAGUGGCAUCGCUUUUAUACCAAAGGAGCAAUCCGCUGAAAGAUGGGCUCAUAUCUGAUUAGCUAGUUGGCGGGGUAACGGCCCACCAAGGCGACGAUCAGUAGCCGGACUGAGAGGUUGAACGGCCACAUUGGGACUGAGAUACGGCCCAGACUCCUACGGGAGGCAGCAGUGGGGAAUAUUGGGCAAUGGGCGAAAGCCUGAACCCCAGCAACGCCGCGUGAAGGAAGAAGGUCUUCGGAUUGUAAACUUCUUUUAUGAGGGACGAAGGACGUGACGGUACCUCAUGAAUAAGCCACGGCUAACUACGUGCCAGCAGCAGC
Molecule: ribosomal RNA, 506 nt
Filed under: uncultured bacterium
Lineage: Bacteria
Description: bacterial SSU rRNA
Rfam family: Bacterial small subunit ribosomal RNA
Source: RNAcentral